AGUAUAUGGCAUAUUGUUUAGCUUGCAUGGCUAGUAAGUGGAUUCUUUAAGCACCAUUACAACCCAUUACUUCAUGGCAAAAGCCAGAAGUUGCUUUCAUACCUAAAUUAAGUUGCUUCAUACCGAUGUCCUGGGUCCUCUACUGGAAUAAUAGCUAUGAGCAUGUUCUUGUUCUGGUUGAUGCUUUUUGUAAUUGCUGUCUUAUUUACCUACUGUACACACAGUAUUCUUAUGAGCUACAGAAGGCAUUUAUAAAUGCUAUCUCCUUGUAUUGCACUCUGCAUCUUAUAGAUGCUGAUUGUGGUUGCAUGUUAGAAUCAGCAAACUUUGUAAAAUGGGGUAAUGAUUUAGGAUGCUCCAUUCACUACAUAACUCUUGAGAUGUAUCAUGCCAAUGGCCAAGUGGAGCGGUGUUUGUACUCUUUUCAAUAUGUUAAGGGUUGAGACCUAUAACAGGAAGAAUAAGUGGUCUGAAGAGCUGUGGCAUUUGCAAAAUGUCACCAAUCAGGAAACUACUCAAGCGUCUCCACUCAACUUUUUGAUUGGCAUUGGAGUGUGACACAGUACGCAGAGCACCUCAUGUUUUCCAAAAGGAAGACCUUGCUAUUGUCAUAACCAGAUCCUGGAAUGCAUGGACCUUAUAGGGUCACAAGAAUCUUGAACAUUGACCGAAAUGAGUUGAAACUUGUUGCUGGGGCUUAUGGAAAGAUCCUUCCGAUGACAGAGGUGCUGAGCACUCCAGUCUUCGACGGUGAAGAAGUUGGUGCAACCACGCCUGUCGAGGACGCCAGUGUGUCAGGAGAGGCCGUGUAAGGGAACGUCGUCGGUUUGACGUUUGUCGAACUGUCAAAUUCAAUUGACAGGAUAAGACAAGCGUCACUUCCGCCCACUUCCGCUCCAGACCGCACCGCGACCGGUGCAUGAUAUCGCUUUUGAAUCGUAUCUCUUUAUUGUUAUCCUUUGUAGCCAGAAAUUGGUAAUAUCAAGCAUUGUAUUUGUGUUAGUAAUAUUAAAACUAUUUAGUAAGUUA
This is a long non-coding RNA of Spodoptera frugiperda (fall armyworm), 1029 nucleotides long. RefSeq lists it as uncharacterized. The record is from RefSeq and is a predicted model, not a curated record. NCBI's taxonomy places the organism in Eukaryota, Metazoa, Arthropoda, Insecta, Lepidoptera, Noctuidae. The transcript is spliced from 2 exons.